UUGUUUGCGGAUGGAGCAUCAUCAAGAUUCACGUAUCAUUCUUAGGGCAAUCGAAUAUUAAUGGUGAAGAUCAUCCUUUUUGCUUCACCAUACAUGUACCAAUAUUUAGUCCCUUGGAUAUAUAUGAGAAUCUUGAUGAUGCUGCAGCGGCAAUAAA
This 157-nucleotide microRNA precursor is filed under the name Gossypium barbadense (sea-island cotton). Its description in RNAcentral is "mir-172 microRNA precursor family". It matches the Rfam family "mir-172 microRNA precursor family". From Rfam's summary of the family: mir-172 has been experimentally verified in Arabidopsis thaliana. This family is thought to target mRNAs coding for APETALA2-like transcription factors. Lineage: Eukaryota; Viridiplantae; Streptophyta; Magnoliopsida; Malvales; Malvaceae. The record is from Rfam by way of RNAcentral. RNAcentral also lists the same sequence under 2 other names.